Molecule: non-coding RNA, 401 nt
Organism: Pogona vitticeps (central bearded dragon)
Lineage: Eukaryota; Metazoa; Chordata; Lepidosauria; Squamata; Agamidae
Source: RefSeq, a predicted model, not a curated record
UGUUUACUAGCCUCUCCAGGUCCAGGGUGGUGUCCCAGCAAGCACUGCUGCGUCCCAACAGGUGGCUGAAGUCUCCAGCGUCUGACUCCUGUCCUGAGCAAACAAACAGGGUCAAGGUUCCCUGGUCUUUAGAGACACAGAACCUGCUAUCAGUGGGUGGGAUCCAGGAACUCAAGGAUGGCAAGUCAUACAGCAGAGGAGAAAUCCAGGACUAGGUUGAACCGUCAGAGGCAUGGAUCAUGAGCUGGCCCCAAAGGAAAUCCAGCCACCAAAAUAUCUGGAAUACUAUGGGACAUUUGUCAAAUCCUAUCAUUGAAACCAGCCUCUAAAUUCAAAGACAGCCUCACAUCUCUGCUCAGCGCUUUUUCACUAUCUAGAGCCUGUUAAAGUCUGUUGUUGAA